GAUGAACGCUGGCGGCGUGCCUAACACAUGCAAGUCGAACGGAGAUUACGGACGGAAGUUUUCGGAUGGAAGCCUGUAAUUCUUAGUGGCGGACGGGUGAGUAACGCGUGGGCAACCUGCCCUAUACAGGGGGAUAGCAGCUGGAAACGGCUGGUAAGACCGCAUAAGUCGGUUAAAUCGCAUGAUUUGAUCGGGAAAUGAGCAAUCAGGUAUAGGAUGGGCCCGCGUCCGAUUAGCCAGUUGGCAGGGUAAAAGCCUACCAAAGCGACGAUCGGUAGCCGGACUGAGAGGUCGGACGGCCACAUUGGGACUGAGACACGGCCCAAACUCCUACGGGAGGCAGCAGUAGGGGAUAUUGCACAAUGGAGGAAACUCUGAUGCAGCGACGCCGCGUGAGUGAAGAAGUAUUUCGGUAUGUAAAGCUCUAUCAGCAGGGAAGAUGAUGACGGUACCUGACUAAGAAGCCCCGGCUAACUACGUG
This 481-nucleotide ribosomal RNA is filed under the name uncultured bacterium. Its description in RNAcentral is "partial 16S ribosomal RNA". It matches the Rfam family "Bacterial small subunit ribosomal RNA", at positions 28 to 507 of the family's 1533-position model. The record is from RNAcentral.